AUUGAACGCUGGCGGCAUGCCUUACACAUGCAAGUCGAACGGCAGCACGGGGGCAACCCUGGUGGCGAGUGGCGAACGGGUGAGUAACACAUCGGAACGUGCCCAGUAGUGGGGGAUAGCUCGGCGAAAGCCGGAUUAAUACCGCAUACGACCUACGGGUGAAAGCGGGGGAUCGCAAGACCUCGCGCUAUCGGAGCGGCCGAUGUCAGAUUAGGUUGUUGGUGGGGUAAAGGCCUACCAAGCCGACGAUCUGUAGCUGGUCUGAGAGGACGACCAGCCACACUGGGACUGAGACACGGCCCAGACUCCUACGGGAGGCAGCAGUGGGGAAUUUUGGACAAUGGGCGCAAGCCUGAUCCAGCCAUGCCGCGUGCGGGAAGAAGGCCU
Molecule: ribosomal RNA, 387 nt
Filed under: uncultured bacterium
Lineage: Bacteria
Description: bacterial SSU rRNA
Rfam family: Bacterial small subunit ribosomal RNA
Source: RNAcentral